RNAcentral lists this microRNA precursor (240 nucleotides) under Oryza sativa (Asian cultivated rice). RNAcentral's name for it is "partial microRNA MIR438p-9 precursor". The stretch from base 33 to 225 matches the Rfam family "MIR812 microRNA precursor family". Lineage: Eukaryota; Viridiplantae; Streptophyta; Magnoliopsida; Poales; Poaceae. The record is from RNAcentral.
CUUACUCCCUCCGUCCAAAGACUCAAUUUCUAGCUUUUUCGUGUUCAACGUUUGACUAUCCGUCUUAUAUGAAUUUUUUUUUUACGAUUAUUAUUUUCAUUGUUGUUAGAUGAUAAAAAAUAAUAAUAUUUUAUACGUGACUUAUCUUUUUAAUCUUUUUUAUAAUUUUUUUAAAUAAGACGGACAGUCAAAUAUUGUACACGGAAACCUAGGAAUUAAGUUAUUUUGGAACGAAGGGGG